AGGGCACCACCAGGAGUGGAGCCUGCGGCUUAAUUUGACUCAACACGGGGAAACUCACCCGGCCCGGACACCGUAAGGAUUGACAGAUUGAUAGCUUUUUCAUGAUUCGGUGGAUGGUGGUGCAUGGCCGUUCUUAGUUCGUGGAGCGAUUUGUCUGGUUUAUUCCGAUAACGAGCGAGACUCUAGCCUACUAAAUAGUUCGCACAUUGUCUCUGUGUGUGUGACUUCUUAGAGGGAUUUUCGGUGCUCAGCCGCACGAAAUUGAGCAAUAACAGGUCUGUGAUGCCCUUAGAUGUCCGGGGCUGCACGCGCGCUACACUGGCAAAAUCAGCGUGCUUGUCCUUCCCCGAAAGGGGUUGGUAAACCCUUGAAAAUUUGCCGUGAUUGGGAUAGGAAAUUGCAAUUAUUUUCCAUGAACGAGGAAUUCCAAGUAAGUGCGAGUCAUCAGCUCGCGUUGAUUACGUCCCUGCCCUUUGUACACACCGCCCGUCGCUGCCCGGGACUGAGCCAUUUCGAGAA
Molecule: ribosomal RNA, 519 nt
Filed under: uncultured eukaryote
Lineage: Eukaryota
Description: SSU rRNA
Rfam family: Eukaryotic small subunit ribosomal RNA
Source: RNAcentral